GACGAACGCUGGCGGCGUGCUUAACACAUGCAAGUCGAACGAUGAAGCUAGAGCUUGCUCUGGUGAAUUAGUGGCGAACGGGUGAGUAACACGUGAGUAACCUGCCCCGAACUCUGGGAUAACUGCUGGAAACGGUAGCUAAUACUGGAUACGACCUACGAAGGCAAUCUUCUGUAGGUGGAAAGAAUUUUCGGUUCGGGGAUGGACUCGCGGCCUAUCAGCUUGUGGUGAGGUAAUGGCUCACCAAGGCGACGACGGGUAGCCGGCCUGAGAGGGUGACCGGCCACACUGGGACUGAGACACGGCCCAGACUCCUACGGGAGGCAGCAGUGGGAAUAUUGCACAAUGGGCGCAAGCCUGAUGCAGCAAACGCCGCGUGAGGGAUGACGGCCUCGGUU
Molecule: ribosomal RNA, 398 nt
Filed under: uncultured bacterium
Lineage: Bacteria
Description: bacterial SSU rRNA
Rfam family: Bacterial small subunit ribosomal RNA
Source: RNAcentral